This 165-nucleotide ribosomal RNA is filed under the name uncultured Alphaproteobacteria bacterium. RNAcentral describes it as "partial 16S ribosomal RNA". It matches the Rfam family "Bacterial small subunit ribosomal RNA", at positions 1230 to 1395 of the family's 1533-position model. Lineage: Bacteria; Pseudomonadati; Pseudomonadota; Alphaproteobacteria. The record is from RNAcentral.
AUGGCGGUGACAAUGGGCAGCAACUCAGCAAUGGGGAGCUAAUCUCAAAAAGCCGUCUCAGUUCGGAUUGGGCUCUGCAACUCGAGCCCAUGAAGUCGGAAUCGCUAGUAAUCGCGGAUCAGCACGCCGCGGUGAAUACGUUCCCGGGCCUUGUACACACCGCCC